This is a non-coding RNA of Microcebus murinus (gray mouse lemur), 1068 nucleotides long. NCBI's taxonomy places the organism in Eukaryota, Metazoa, Chordata, Mammalia, Primates, Cheirogaleidae. The record is from RefSeq and is a predicted model, not a curated record.
UUAAGGACAUGGCCACAUCCACUUCUUACUGGCUGGGUAGCCUGUGCCACUGCACAACACAACUUUGUGAAUGGACUCCCAGGGAACUGUGCCACCUGGCUGCCCCAGUGGGAUCCUGAGCAACUUCACUUAUGGCCGUCUCUGUUUCUUCAUCUAUGAAAUGGGGGUGUUAUUUGUGCCUUCUUUAAAAGGGUUUCUGUGAGGAGCCAAUGAGUUAACACCAAUAAAUUGUUUCAGCUCAUGCGUUAGGUCUGCUGAUGGUAAAUCAUUUUCUGAAAAAUCCUGUGCCUUCCAAAUAGAGUUCAUCUCCUGGUACAAGCUAGACUGCACCAUCUGAGGGAGCAGAGAGCUGGGGCCAUCUGGAGUUACACACGUUUUGCAUUUAAUGGGCAUGAGUAGUGUAAACCAACCAGAUGGGUCUGUUUAGGUCUGCCUUGAUGUUCCUUGGUGCUCUGGUUCCCACUUGUCAAGAAUGAGUAUUGGUACCAAGUCAAGCCUAUGAUGGAUUGAUCACAGAUACAGAACAAUCCCACACAGUUUAUUACAGGAAAGAGAAAGAAGCUAUACAAAGUGAAAGUGAAGAAGGAAGCCACAAAAAAAAAUGACACAAAGUGAAAAUACAUUCCAGAGAGAGGGGAACUGGUCAGUCUCCACAAAGUCUGACCACACCUUGUCUUUUAUAUGCUUACUAGUUUGUCCCACCUUUCUUCUGGCAGGAUUGGCUGCCAUUUCCCACCUUUGGGUGAUUGACAGGUUGGGGUUAUAUAACAGAUUAAAUAACAGGUUGGUUAUGUAAUGGUUUCCCUUUCUGCACAUGUGUCUUCCCCAGAAUCCUUCAUGAAAACUUCACCCAUGUGAAGCUAAUUACAUGGUAAUAAGCCUCAGGUUAGUUAAAGGUCACUAGGGGCUCCUUACUAUGUAUGUUCCCACAGGGAACAGUUCCUAGCAGCAAUUUGGUUCCUAGCUACAAUUCAGUCAGGGGCCUUUGCCACUUCCUUGCUUGCCUUGCCACCUGUUUGCCUUCCUCCAGACCCAACGUUCUGAACUGGCUCACUAUAAACCAUCUCC